This 276-nucleotide unclassified non-coding RNA is filed under the name Mucoromycotina sp. RNAcentral describes it as "partial contains small subunit ribosomal RNA and internal transcribed spacer 1". The stretch from base 1 to 47 matches the Rfam family "Eukaryotic small subunit ribosomal RNA", at positions 1785 to 1831 of the family's 1831-position model. Lineage: Eukaryota; Fungi; Mucoromycota. The record is from RNAcentral.
AAAGUCGUAACAAGGUUUCCGUAGGUGAACCUGCGGAAGGAUCAUCAAUAAUCCAAUCUUGACUAGCGCAAUUAAAAACUGUGCUAGUCUAACCUUCUUGUGCACCGUUUAAUGUUUAUUGAUUGGGAGUAAAACUGAGAUGUUGAUUUUAUAUCAGCAUAUCGAUUCCCAAUUGAUUAAUCUUUAUAACAAACUAUUUUAUAUUUGAAGUUGUUUAUUUUACAGGUAACUGUACUAAUAUCAAUACAACUUACAGCGAUGGAUCUCUAGGCUCUG